RNAcentral lists this long non-coding RNA (1012 nucleotides) under Gossypium barbadense (sea-island cotton). Its description in RNAcentral is "long non-coding RNA (GBAR_LNC005870)". The record is from RNAcentral. Lineage: Eukaryota; Viridiplantae; Streptophyta; Magnoliopsida; Malvales; Malvaceae.
AAAAAAAAAAAGGAGAGAGGGAGGGCUGAGCGAUUUCCGGUGGGGAGCCCGGCCACCGUCCGGUCGUCGGACCAUCGCCGGCGCCGGCGCACGGUGGCUGGAAAGGUAAAAAUUUUAAAUUUUUUUUUAUAUUUUUAUUUAAUAUAUAUAUGUAUGGUUUAUGUAUCGAAUAAAGAUUAUAUAUACACACAGAUUCGAAAAAAUGAAAAGAAAAAUAAGUAGACCUUGAUUCCUUUUUGAUAUAUCUUGCUGCGACUUUGGUAUAUAUCGAAGCCUUUUGGUGUUAUUGCUUUUGUAUAUUGGUUGUUGAAAUCUGCUUAAGAUGUUUUGUAUUUUUUUGCUUUUGAACUGCCCCCCUUACAAAUCUUUUUCAAUCGGCUUUUAUAGCCAUUGUAUUACUAUUUUUUAUUAGUUUCUGUCUUGUCCCUUUUUGUCUUGCAGGAGUAGUUGAACGGUGGAGGUGAUGGGGGCGCAGAGGGCAGGUGGCCGGUGCUGCAGGCUUUGGUGGUAGUGGCAGCACAAGUGGGAGCCGAAUGGGGCUAGGGUAUUUGGUGGGUUUGGUUGGCUUAGGUUAGUGGGUAUGGGUUAGAUUGUAAUGGGUUUAGGGGUAUUUGGGUUUUAUUUGUAAAUAGGUUUAGGGGUAUUUGGGUUUAGAGGUUGUUUAAGUGGGUAAAUUUGGCUUAAGUGGGUUUGAUGAGUUUGUAAGGGAUUGAGGGUGUAAAAUGGGCCAUUCGGGUUUGGGCAAUUUAAAGGGGUCAUUUGUAAAUGUAACUGGGCCUGAGUUAUUUAAAAAAAUGGCCCAAAAUUGGCCUAUAACAAUACAUAUUGAAAUUUAACAAAAAUCAAUUAAUAAUAUUAUCAAUCUUGGACUCUUAUUUCCUAUUAAAUUUUAUAUUUCACAAAUAUUAAUAUAUUUAUUGUUUUUUUAUCACAAUAUGUCAAUAAUAAGAAUAGAGGAAAUUUUAAAUUAAUUUUUUUAAUAAUUUCAUCAUAGAUUCUAAUCAUAUUUAUU